UAGCAAUACCCCUCUCAUAAUCUCACACACUUUAAACAACAAGAAGUCUAAGAAAGGUAUGUUGUGGUUCCAUGGAAGAAUAUUCAAUGAAGGGACCUUAAACUGUUCAAUUUGUUCAUUCAGGAGCUUUGUUUUGUUCACGCGGAAAACUGUUGGUGAGGGCUUAUGAUCUAUGAAUUGUGACUUUUGAUAACACUUCUUUGACGAUUUCAUCCGCGUUUUAUGAAUCAAUUGGGAAAAGAUCAAGUGAUGAUCUUGAUCAGCUCUGGCGUAUUCACUGCAGCUAUACAUAUGACAAUCUAGGAGAGUCAACAAAGCCUUGAUCUGUCGGCUAUUGCUCGAUCUUAGGAUUAAAUCUAAAUUUGUGGUACGUAAAAGUGAUGAGAUCGGAACCGUCAUGUUUCUUUGCUUAGGAAAGGGAAUUCGUCUUUUAAUUCCAGUAGGCCAUCGUUUGUAUUGAAUAAUUAUGAUACAACUAAUCGGUAAUAAUAGUAGGUGUCAUGGUAAUUUCUUUCUCUGUCAUCUCUGAAUUUAUGUUGUAACUUGCUUUUAAUAUACAAAGGAU
Long non-coding RNA from Rosa rugosa (rugosa rose), 565 nucleotides. RefSeq lists it as uncharacterized. Lineage: Eukaryota; Viridiplantae; Streptophyta; Magnoliopsida; Rosales; Rosaceae. The transcript has 3 exons. The record is from RefSeq and is a predicted model, not a curated record.